Molecule: ribosomal RNA, 433 nt
Filed under: uncultured bacterium
Lineage: Bacteria
Description: partial 16S ribosomal RNA
Rfam family: Bacterial small subunit ribosomal RNA
Source: RNAcentral
AACGAACGCUGGCGGCAUGCCUAACACAUGCAAGUCGAACGAAGGCUUCGGCCUUAGUGGCGCCCGGGUGUGUCACGCGUGGGAAUCUUCCCUUUGGUUCGGAAUAACAGCUGGAAACGGCUGAUUAUACCGGAUGAUGACGAAAGUCCAAAGAUUUAUCGCCAGAGGAUGAGCGAGCGUUGGAUUAGGUCGUUGGUGGGCUAAUGGCAUACCAAGCCGACGAUCCGUAGCUGGUCAGAGAGGAUGAUCAGCCACACUGGGAGUGAGACGCGGCCCAGACUCCUACGGGAGGCAGCAGUGGGGAAUAGAGGACAGUGGGCUCAAGCCUGAACCAGCAAUGCCGGGUGAGUGAUGAAGGUCCUGGGGAUGUAAAGCUCUUUUACCCGGGAAGAUAAUGACGGUACCGGGAGAAUAAGCCCCGGCUAACUCCGUG